RNAcentral lists this ribosomal RNA (468 nucleotides) under uncultured bacterium. RNAcentral describes it as "partial 16S ribosomal RNA". It matches the Rfam family "Bacterial small subunit ribosomal RNA", at positions 28 to 507 of the family's 1533-position model. The record is from RNAcentral.
GACGAACGCUGGCGGCGUGCUUAACACAUGCAAGUCGAACGGAAAGGCCCUGCUUUUGUGGGGUGCUCGAGUGGCGAACGGGUGAGUAACACGUGAGUAACCUGCCCUUGACUUUGGGAUAACUUCAGGAAACUGGGGCUAAUACCGGAUAGGAGCUCCUGCUGCAUGGUGGGGGUUGGAAAGUUUCGGCGGUUGGGGAUGGACUCGCGGCUUAUCAGCUUGUUGGUGGGGUAGUGGCUUACCAAGGCUUUGACGGGUAGCCGGCCUGAGAGGGUGACCGGCCACAUUGGGACUGAGAUACGGCCCAGACUCCUACGGGAGGCAGCAGUGGGGAAUAUUGCACAAUGGGCGGAAGCCUGAUGCAGCAACGCCGCGUGCGGGAUGACGGCCUUCGUGUUGUAAACCGCUUUCGCCUGUGACGAAGCGUGAGUGACGGUAAUGGGUAAAGAGGCACCGGCUAACUACGUG